This 19490-nucleotide long non-coding RNA is filed under the name Homo sapiens (human). Its description in RNAcentral is "non-protein coding lnc-RNF24-2:8". The record is from RNAcentral. Lineage: Eukaryota; Metazoa; Chordata; Mammalia; Primates; Hominidae.
GGUGUAGCCCAGAAGAGAGUGAUGGCGGCGCCGCCCAAUGGACGCGUGGGUGGAAGGGCCCGAGCCUCCUCAUCCACCCCCUCCUUCCGCCCCCCACUUGUGCAUGCCUCUGCCCCCCCGGGCCGCGGAACUCUCCUGGGGCGACCCCGAGUCCCACCCCGCUGCUCCGUGCCGUCCUCGCAGCUCGAGCCCUCCUCCAGCCCAGCAGUGCUCCCGCAGCGUCUGGCCGCUGGUCGUCGGCAGACGAAAGGGCUUGAACCGCGGCUGACCUUAGCCUUUGUCCCUCGGCCUAGUUCCGCAGCUGCCGUCGAGGCCGCCAGCCCCUCCCCCAGCAUGUUUGGGCUAAGCCGCCUCCUUUCCGCCUGCGUUGGAGAGAGAGGUACCAGAAGGAAUGAAAGGACUGGGGCUUGUCUCCAUGGCAACUGAAAGAAAGAGAGAAAAAUUGGUCACCUCCAGGACUGAGACCCUGACCCUUCCAAGCAUCCCCACUACCAAAGGCUGCCCAAGCCCGGAAGGAUCCCAUCCCGUUCUGUACUCUGAGGUCACUUCCUCACUCCGUCAAAUUUCACUGGACUGUGGGCUAAUUAAAAGUGCCUCCGUAUUAGCGGGGCGUGGUGGCCCAUGCCUAUAAUCCCAGCUACUUGGGAAGCUGAGGCAGGAAAAUUGCUUGAACCCGGGUGGCGGAGGCUGCAGUGACCCAACAUUGUGCAACAAGAGCGAAACUCCGUCUCAAAAAAAAUAAAAAAUAAAAAAGAGUGCCUCCCUGGGGAGACUGUAAUGCCCACUGGGCAGUGAUCCUAAUGCCCCUUGGGCAGUGAUCCUUAUUCCCCUCUCCCAUAAUGAUUGGUUGUAGCAGGCUGAACAAAAAGGUUGAGCUUCGCUUGUGCUUGCUGAAUAGAAUUCUCACGCCCACUCCACGUUAGCUCCCCUCACUGUAGGACUAGCUCUGAAAAUUCUAGCUCCUGUAGGAAGCCAACACAGACGGAUCUACAAGAACCAAAAACAGCUAUAGCUACUCUUCUAAAUCUCAGUGCCUGACAUUGCCUCUCUUUCUGCCUCCUCUCUCCACCCCCCAAAAAAUGUGGUCCUCCUUGACCUGAGGGAGCUUCCGUCCAAGUCUGAGCUCUGAUCAUCCUGAAGAAUCAAAGUAUCAUCAUCCCUUGGCUGGCAAGAUGAACUCCAACAUCAAAACACUUGAAACAGUAGUAUUUUUACACAAUUUGCCCACUGCCUCUACAUCUCACUUAGUCCUUGCAGUAACAUUUGGAUGAUGAGGUAACUUAUCCAGAAGCACAAAGCCUAAAGAAUGACAGAGCUUGGACUCCUGAGAAGUUCAGCUACUGCCCGCCUUAUGAUAACCAAAAGAAAGCGGCCGGGCGCAGUGGCUCAACUCCUGUAAUCCCAGCACUUUGGGAGGCCGAGGCGUGCGAAUCACAAGGUCAGGAGUCCGAGACCAGCCUGGCCAACACAGGGAAACCCCGUCUCUACUAAAAAAAACAAACACAAAAAUUAGUUGGGCGUGGUGGUGGGCACCUGUAAUCCCAGCUACUUGGGAGGCUGAGGCAGGAGAGUCACUUGAAUCCGGUAGGCGGAGGUUGCAGUGAGCCGAGAUCGUGCCACUGCACUCCAGCCUGGGAGACAGUGAGACUCCGUCUCUAAAAAAAAAUGAAUAAAUAAAUAAGAAGGCACACCACAAGUUCGAGACCACUUCUACAAAAAAUAAAAAAUAAAAAAAAUUAGGCCAGGCACAGUGGCUCAUGCCUGUAAUCCAAGCACUUUGGGAGGCUGAGGCGGGCGGAUCACUGGAGGUCAGGAGUUUCAGACCAGCCUGGCCCAACAUGGUGAAACCCUGUCUCUACUAAAAAUACAAAACUUAGCUGGGCGUAGUGGUGCGUGCCUGUAAUCCCACUUACUCCAGAAGCUGAGGCAGAAGAACUGCUUGAACCUGGGAUGCAGAGGUUGCAGUGAGCUGAGAUUGCACCACUGCACUCCAGCCUGGGCAACAGAGUGGGACUCUGCCUCAAAAAAAAAAAAAAAAAGAAAAUGAAGAUGACCAAAUGGGCUUCUAGAUGGCUAAUGAUAUUCUGUUUCUUUGAUCUGGGUGGGGGUUACAUGGGUGUGUUCCCUUUGUAAUAUGUUAUCAAGACAUUUUGUGCACUUUUUUGGGUAUUAUACUGAAAGAAAACAUUUAUUUUUUAAAAAGUUGAAAAAUUGCCUUGGAGCAGAGUAAGGUAAAUCUAUGAUUAAGCUUAGAUUUUUUUAUUUUUUAUUUUUUAUUUUUUUUCAAAAAAAAUGAGGCCAGGCGCGGUGGCUCACGCCUGUAAUCCCAGCACGUUGGGAGGCCGAGGUGGGCAGAUCACGAGGUCAGGAGGUCGAGACCAUCCUGGCUAACACGGUGAAAUCCCAUCUCUACUAAAAAUACAAAAAAUUAGCCAGGCAUGGUGGCAGGCACCUGUAGUCCCAGCUACUCGGGAGGCUGAGGCAGGAGAAUGGCAUGAACCUGGGAGGCAGAGCUUGCAGUGAGCCAAGGUCACGCCACUGCACUCCAGCCUGGGUGACAGAGCAAGACUCGUCUCAAAAAAAAAAAAAAAAGUAAAAUGAACCUAACAAGAGGCAUCCUUUCUCUGUGGUUAUUAUAGUGAGAACUAAGUUCUUUAUCACUCUCCGGUUAUUUACCCCUAGAGAGAAGCCAACUUUCUGGUUGUAUACACCAGAAUAAGUACAAGAAUGGUAAGCAUAGAGCUUCAGAGAAACUAGCCAGAUUCUAAAGGAAUGACUUGAAAAUCGAGAGCCGUUUCAAUGACAAAACAUCAUACAAAAUAUUCAUCUACCACAUUAGAGGCCUAUCGCUAGGUAAAAACACCAAAACUUCAGCUUAAACAGUAGUAUGUAUGUAUGUAUUAUCCCAGUUUCUGUGAGUCAGGAAUUCAGGAUUGAUAAGCUGGGUGGUUCUUGUUCAGAAUCUUUCAAGAGGUUGCAGUCCUCUGAAAGUGUAGUGGGUUGGGGUAUCCACUUCCAAGGUGGCUUGCUCAUAUGGCUGGCAAGUUGGUGCUGGCUGUUGGCAGGAGGCCUCAGCUCACAAUGCAGGCUUUCAUAGGACUACGUGAGUGUCCUUUCAACAUGGCAGCAGGCCUUCCCUAGAGCUAGUGAAGGAUGAGAAAACGACAAAUCGCAAUGUCUUUUAUGACCUAGGCUGGGAAGUUAUACUCCAUCAUUUAUGCAAUAUCCUGUUAUCACACAGGUCAUCCCUAUUCAGUGUAGGUUGGUACUACACAAGGACAUGAAUAUCAGGAGGAAGAGAAUCUCUGGAGGCCAUCUUGGAGCCCAUAGUCCGCCUUCUGCCCCCUAAUGAUUCACGUCUUCGUCUGUUCCUGCUCUCUAAGAGCCAGGAGGCAGACUUCCCUUGAGCUUUCUUGCAGCUAAAGUAGAGCAUCAUUAGCAGUAAAAAUUAAGAUAUCAUCACAAAGGCCAGGCACAGUGGCUCACGCCUGUAAUCCCAACACUUUGGGAGGCCAAGGUGGGCGGAUCACCUGAGGUCAGGAGUUCGAGACAUGCCUGGCCAACAUGGUGAAACCCUGUCUUCACUAAAAAUACAAAAAUUAACCUGGUGUGUUGGCGGGCACCUCUAAUCCCAGCUACUUAGGAGGCUGAGCCAGGAGAAUCACUUGAAACCAGAGGCGGACGUUGUAGUGAGCCAAGAUGGCACCACUGAACUUGAGCCUGGGUGACAGAGCAAGACUCCAUCUCAAAAAAAAAAAAAAAAAAGACAUCACAAGAUUGCCAGGCACAGAGGCUUAAACACCAAGUUCUUUCUCAUGUCAUCGUGUUUCGUCGGUGCCGAGGACAUGAGGGGUGUAGAUCAGGCCUGUUUCAAACACAAGGCCUUUUGGCCAGAGUGUAAUGGUGUGAGGACUUGGGAAGACCUUACCUACUUAACUGUCUCUCUCAAAGGACAAAGGUAUGAGGGGGUUAAAAAAAAAAAAAAAAAGGCAAAGCUAUGAAGAACAUGAAGUUCUUAAGCCCCUAGACACUCUUCCAAGGUCUGGCCUGUAUCCCAGAGUCCACUGCUGAAAAGGGGCAGAGAUGUGUGUUAUAUGCGCACAUACGUACGCAUAGUAUAGCUAGCAUAUGGCAUUCUGGUGGCCUCGACGGAGCUCACAGGCAAUAUAACAGCAUUGACUGCUUUCACAGUUUCCACUUGUCUCAGGAAAAUAGAGAAAAUUCAAGAUGAAAUACAGUGAGUUUAGGACAACUCAGUUUCCUAAAUAUGGAAGAUCCUGUCCCUUCCCAAGUAUUGAAAGAGAUGAAAAUUUUCCCUUAGUUUUCAAGCUCAAAGUCUAUCUUAUCUUUGACUAAAUAGCCCUGAUUUGGAUACUGUUAACUUGCUCUUAACUACUAAUAGUCUAGUGCUUUUACUUUAUUUUAUUUUAUUUAUUUUCUUUGAGACGGAGUCUCUGUUGCCCAGGCUGGAGUGCAAUGGCACUAUCUCGGCUCACUGCAACCUCCACCUCCUGGGUUCAAGCGAUUCUCCUUACUGAGCCUCCCGAGUAGCUGGGAGUACAGGCGCACACCACCAUGCCUGGCUAAUUUUUGUACUUUUAGUAGAGAUGGAGUUUUGCUACGUUGGCCAGGGUGGUCUCGAACUCCAACUCAGGUGAUCCACCCACCUUGGCCUCCCAAAGUGCUGGAAUUACAGGGAUGAGCCACUGCACACAGCCUAUUUGUUUUUUAAGAGACGUGAUCUCGGGACCAGGCAUGAUGGCCCUUGCUUAAUCCCAGCACUUUGGGAGGCCAAGGCAGGCGGAUCACAUGAGUCCAGGAGUUAGAGACCAGCCUGGGCAAUGUGGCAAAACCCCAUCUCUACAAAAAUACAAAAAUUAGCCAGGCGUGGUGGCACAUGCCUGUGGUCCCAGCUACUCAGGAGGCUGAGGUGGGAGGAUCGCCUGAACCAGGGAGGUGGAGGUUGCAGUGAACCAAGAUCGCACCACUGCACUCAGCCUGGACCACAGAGCGAGACACUGUCUCAAAAAAAAAAAAAGGAUCUCACUCUCACCGAGUCACAUUUCAAGUAGUCAAUAGCCACAAGUACCAGGCACGGUGGCUCACGCCUGUAAUCCCAGCACUUUGGGAGGCCGAGGCGGGCAGAUCACGAGGUCAGGGGAUCGAGACCAUCCUGGCUAACAUGGUGAAACCCCGUCUCUACUAAAAAUACAAAAAAUUAGCCGGGCAUGGUGGCGGGCGCCUGUAGACCCAGCUGCUUGGGAGGCUGAGGCAGGAGAAUGGCGUGAACCUAGGAGGCGGAGCUUGCAGUGAGCCGAGAUCGCGCCACUGCACUCCAGCCUGGGCGACAGAGCAAGACUCCGUCUCAAAAAAAAAAAAAAGAAAAAAAUAAAUAGCCACAGGUGUCUAGUGGCUAUCACAAACAGAAAGCUCUAAUUAGUAAUUUAUUUCAAUGGCCUCCUAAGAGUUUGUUCUGCCUCUAGUCUCUACUCUCCAGGCCCACAGCUCCCAGGGUAAUCUUAUUAAAGCAUUCUCCUGUUUAUAAUCUCGCCUAUGUUAAAAAGGUUAUGGUGGCUUCUUUGCCUACAGAAUGAAGUUCAAACAACUUGACAUCCAAGGAGCUCCACCAUUUGGUAUCUUCCCACUUUUUCUUUUUCUUUUUUUUUUUUUUUUUUUUGAGAUGGAGUCUCACUCUGUCACCCAAGCUGGAGUGCGGUGGCACAAUCUCGGCUCACUGCAAGCUCCACCUCCCGGGUUCAUGCCAUUCUCCUGCCUCAGCCUCCGGAGUAGCUGGGACUACAGGCGCCUGCCACCACACUGGGCUAAUUUUUUGUAUUUUUUUAGUAGAGACGGGGUUUCACCGUGUUAGCCAGGAUGGUCUCGAUCUCCUGACCUCAUGAUCCGCCCGCCUCAGCCUCCCAAAGUGCUGGGAUUACAGGCGUGAGCCACCGCGCCCAGCAUCUUCCCACUUUUUCUCAUUGCUUUAUUAUGCUUGCAUAACUGUUCUAACAAAACAAAUCUCACAAUUCUCUAGAUAAGCCUUAUUCUUACCCAGCUUUGGCUCAUCCUUCAUCUCUACAUCUUUUUUUUUUUUUUCUUUUGAAACGGAGUUUUGCUCUUGUUGCCCAGGCUGGAAUGCAAUGGUGCUAUCUCAGCUCACCGCAACCUCUGCCUCCUGGGUUCAAGCGAUUCUCCUGCCUCAGCCUCCCAAGUAGCUGGGAUUACAGGGAUGCACCACCACACCCAGCUAAUUUUUGUAUUUUUAGUAGAGAUGGGGUUUCUCCACGUUGGUCAGGCUGGUCUUGAACUCCCGACCACAGGUGAUCUGCCUGCCUCAGCCUCCCAAAGGGCAUCUCUACAUCUCUACAUAAAAUUCCUUCCCGCCACAUUUCUGCUUAUCAAAAUCCAAUCCAACUUCUAUGGCAUGGCCCAAAUGAUACCUCCUCCUUAAUGUCUUCAUUGAUUACCACAGUUCACUGUAAACCUGAUCUUUUUUUUUUUUUUUUUUUUUUUUUGGAGACAGAGUCUGUCUCUCCAUCGCCCAGGCUGGAGUGCACUGGCGCAAUCUCAGCUCACUCCAUCCUCCAUCUCCUGGGUUCAAGUGAUUCUCCUGCCUCAGCCUCCCAAGUAGCUGGGACUACAGGUGCAUGCCACCACACCCGGCUAAUUUUUGUAUUUUUUAGUAGAAACAGGGUUUCACCAGUCUGGUCUUGAACUCCUAACCUCAGGUGAUCCACCCACCUCAGCCUCCCACAGUGCUGGGAUUACAGGCAUGAGCCUCUGCACCCGGCCAACCCUGAUUUUUUUUUUUUUUUUGAGACAUAGUCUUGCUCUGUUGCCCAGGCUGGAGUGCAGUGGCACGAUCUCGGCUCACUGCAAGCCCCGCCACCCAGGUUCACGCCAUUCUCCUGCCUCAGCCUCCCGAGUAGCUGGGACUACAGGCGCCUGCCACCACGCCCGGCUAACUUUUUUUUGUAUAUUUAGUAGAGACGGGGUUUCACUGUGUUAGCCAGGAUGGUCUUGAUCUCCUGACCUCGUGAUCCGCCCGCCUCGGCCUCCCAAAGUGCUGGGAUUACAGGCGUGAGCCACCAUGCCUGGCCCUUUUUUUUUUUUUUUUGAGACAGGGUCUGGCUCAGUCACCCAAGGUGGAGUGCAGUGACGCAAUCAUGGCUCACUACAACCUCCACCUCCCCGGCUCAAGCAGUCCUCCCACCUCAGCCACUCAAGUAGCUGGGACUGCAGGUCCACACCACUAUACCUGGCUAAUUUUGUAUUUUUUGAAGAGGCAGGGUUUUACAACGUUGCCCAAGCUGGUCUGAAACUCCUGAGCUCAAGUGAUCCGCCCCCCUCAGCCUCCUAAAGUGCUGGGAUUAUGGUGUGAGCCACCUUGCCCAGCCUUAUGUCACUCUCAGUGGCAUUUCUCGUACUUCCUGGUCCUAAGAUUCUUGGUGUACACGUUGUAUAAUCCCAACUAGAUAUGAGAGCUAUCAGAUUAAGACUUUGCAUCUUUACAUCCCCCAGUACCUUUCAGAGUGUGAGUGCACACACACCAUUUGCUAAGGAAUGAUUGCAGUGACAAUACCAAGUUUAGGAUCCCUUAAAAUACCUAUAUCUUGGGCAGAGGUUGCAUUGAGCUGAGAUCAUGCCGCUACACUCAGCCUGGGUGACAGAGCGAGACUCCAUCUUCAAAAAAAAAAACAGUCCGGGUGUGGUGGCUCACGUCUGUAAUCCCAGCACAUUGGUAGGCCAAGGUGGGUGGAUCACAAGGUCAGGAGUUCAAGACCAGCCUGGCCAACUUGGUGAAACCCUGUCUCUACUAAAAAUACGAAAAAAAAUUAGCCGGGCAUGGCGGCGGGGCACCUGUAAUCCCAGCUACUCAGGAGGCUGAGGCAGAGAAUUGCUUGAACCUGGGAGACGGAGGUUGCAGUGAGCCGAGAUCACGCUACUGCACUCCAGCCUGGGCGAUAGAGCGAGAUUCUGUCUCAAAAAAAAAACUACAUCUUCAUAGUGGACAUAUUUGACAUCUACCCAACUUACAACCAUUCCUCCUAUAGAUCAUAGAUUAGGCCCCAACAGCCAUGUUUGUACCUCCUAAACCCCACCACCUUGGAAUAGAGACUUACUUCUCAAAGUGUGAUGCCACAUUCCUCGUGGGGUCAAAGAAGCAGAAAAAAUUGGUUUGCGGCCGGGCGCAGUGGCUCACCUGGAACCAAGAGUCUUAAUUAAACAAUCAUGAUGGAGACCAAGCCCACAUUUUUCAGGUCACCUAAUCCUGGCCUCUCCAUGAUCCAGUAACCUGAGUUACAGCUUUCCUACCAUAAGGACUUAGAGCUAAUUUCUUAAAGCCUGUAGUGGAGGCUGAGGCGAGAGGAUUGAUUGACACAAGGAGUUUGAGUCCAGCCUAGGCAACAUACCAAGACCCAGUCUCUUAAGUAAAUUUUUUAAAAAAUCAAUUUAGUUUCCAAAUGAGAUCAACAUAUUAACAUAUUAUAUUUGAUUGCUUUGCCUUUUUUUUUUUUUUUUGAGGUGGAGUUUCACUCUUGUUGCUCAGGCCGAAGUACAAUGGCACAAUCUCAGCUCACCACAACUUCCGCCUCCCAGGUUCAAGCGAUUCUUCUGCCUCAGCCUCCUGAGUAGCUGAGAUUACAGGCAUGCACCACCACACCUGGCUAAUUUUGUAUUUUUAUUACAGAUGGGUUUCUCCAUGUUGGCCAGGCUGAUCUCGAACUCCCGACCUCAGGUGAUCCGCCUGCCUCAGCCUCCCAAAGUGCUGGGAUUACAGGCAUGAGCCACCGCACCUGGCCCAGGUUUGAUUUCUUUAAAAGAAUUCUUCACAGGUGCUAUUUACCUUUUUAAACAUUAUUUUUCUAUUUUUGUUUUGUUUUUGAGACGGGGUCUCACCCUGUCACCCAAGCAAGAGUGCAGUGGUGCAGUCACAGCUUACUGCAGCCUCAAACCCCUGGGUUCAAGCAAUUCUCCCACUUCAGCCUCCCAAGUACCUGGAGGUACAGGUGUGCACCACCACGCCCAGCUAAUUUUUUUUUUUUUUUUUUUUUUAGAGACAAGGGUCUCACUAUGUUGCCCAGGCUGGUCUCAAACUCCUGGCCUCAAGCGAUCCUCCCACCUUGGCCUCCCAAAGUGGUUCCCACUUAUAAGUGAAAACAUUACAGGUGUGAGCCACCAUGUCUCACUAUUUACUUUUUAUUCAUCUCAUCAAGAGAAGAGAAAUUCAUAACAUUAACUACUUACGUUAGGGGCUACAGCCCCUACCGUAAUUUUCUAAUCAGGUAGUUUCUUCUAUGCUUGGUUAACUGGAAUUUGUGUGUGUGUGUGUGUGUGUGUGUGUGUGUGUGUGUGUGACAGAGUCUCACUCUGUCACCCAGGCUGGAGUGCAGUGACACGACCUCAGCUCACCGCAACUUCCUCCUCCCAGGUUCAAGCGAUUCUCCUGCCCCGGCUUCCCGAGUAGCUGGGAUUACGGCUGUGCACCACGACACCCAGCUACUUUUCUUUUGUAUUUUUAGUAGAGAUGGGGUUUCAACAUGUUGGCCAGUCUAGUCUCGAAAUCCUGACCUCAAGUGAUCCACCUGCCUGGCCUCCCAAAGUGCUGGGAUUAUAGGUGUGAGCCACCGCACCCAGCCUAACUGGAAUAUUUCUAUAAAGAAUCUUCCCUCAUCAACUCUUUGUUAUCCUGAAGUACCUCAACCUCAGCCUCCAGAGGAGCUGGAACUACUCAAAUAGAAAAGGCAGGAUCAAUUCUUUCCCUUUACUGACCAGUUUUCAGAAUGAGUUGGUUUCCUGGGGCAUCCUCUAGAGGUCAACAAUGAAUUCUUUUUAGUAUUAUCAUGAACUGGUGGCUUUUUUUUUUUUUUUUUGAGACGGUCUCACUCUGUUGCCCAGGCUGGAGUGCAGUGGUGCGAUCUCGGCUCACUGCAACCUCCGCCUUCUGGGUUCAAGCGAUUCUCCUGCCUCAGCCUCCUGAGUAACUGGGACUACAGGCAAGUGCCACCACGCCCAGCUAAUUUUUUCUAUUUUAGCAGAGAGGAGGUUUCACCAUGUUGCCCAGGGUGGUCUCGAACUCCUGAGCUCAUAGAAUCCACCCACUUUGGCUUCUCAAAGUGCUGGGAUUACAGGCGUGCGCCACCAUGCCUGGUGUUUUUUUUUUUUUUUUUUUUUUUUUUGAGACGGAGUCUCACACUGUUGCCGGGGCUGGUGUGCACUGGCGUGAUCUCGGCUCGCCACAACCUCCACCUCCCGGGUUCAAGCGAUUCUCCUUCCUCAGCCCCCUGAGUAGCUGGGACUACAGGCGCGUGCCACCACGUCUAGCUUAUUUUUGUUUUGUUUUGUUUUGUUUUUUUGAGGCAGAGUCUCUGUCGCCCAGGCUGGAGUGCAGUGACGCUAUGUCGGCUCACUGCAAGCUCCGCCUCCCAGGUUCACGCCAUUCUCCUGCCUCAGCCUCCCGAGUAGCUGGGACUACAGGCUACCUGCCACUAUGCCUGGCUAAUUUUUUUUUUUUUUUUUUUUUUUUUUUUAGUAGAGUCGGGGUUUCACCGUGUUAGCCAGGAUGGUCUCAAUCUCCUGACCUGGUGAUCCGCCCACCUCAGCCUCCUAAAGUGCUGGGAUUACAGGCAUGAGCCACCGCACCCGGACUGUAUUUUUUUUUUUAGUAGAGACGGGGUUUCACUAUGUUGGCCAGGCUGGUCUCAAACUCCUGACCUCGUGAUCCACCUGCCUUGGCCUCCCAAAGCACUGGGAUUACAGGCGUGAGCCACCGCGCCUGGCCAACUCAUGGAUUUUAAAAGCCUAUUUGAUGAGUUUCAGUCCACUGGAGUCAGGUCUUUUUUUUUUUUUUUUUGGAAGUGCUGUGAUCGUGACUCACUGCAACCUCUGCCUCCCAGGUUCAAGCGAUUCUCCUGCCUCAGCCUCCCGAGUAGCUGGGACUACAGGCGCGUACCACCAUGGCCAGCUAAUUUUUUUGUAUUUUUAGUAGAGACGGGGUUUCCCCAUGUUGGCCAGGAUGGUGUCGAUCUCCUGACAUAAUCCACCUGCCCCGGCCUCCCAAAGUGCUGGGAUUACAGGCAUGAGCCACCACCCAGCCCAAAGAUUCUAUAUUAUAUAUACAGUUUUCCACUUUUUUUUUCCUCUUAGCAAAACAUCAUGGAGUUCACUCCAUAGCAGUAUAGAGAUACUCAUUUCUAUUCACAGCUGCAUAGCACUCCAAUGUAGAUAUACCUUGGUUUAUUGCCAAUGUUCUGUAGAUGGACAUUGUCUGAGUUAUUUCCAGUCUUUUGCUAUUUACACAGUGGGCUAUAAUGACUAGCCUUGGACAUAUAUCUUUAUUUUUGCCAAUGUUAUCUUUGGCUUAGACUACUAGAAAUGGAAUUGCUGGGUCAAAAAACACAUGCAUAUGUCAUUUUGUAGGACAGAAUCAAAUUCCCCUCCUGAAGAGGCAGCUGCUAUAAUGGUGCUUCCAGUGGUUCCUACUUCUGGGUAAAUUGCCCCUUGACUGCAAUUUACAGAAGUGAUGGGAGUGGAUGCAGAGGCUCCUGCCUGUAAUCCUAGCACUUUGGGAGGCUGAGCCAGGAGGAUCACUUGAGCCCAGCAGUCUGAGACUAACAUAGGCAACACAGUGAGACCGCAUCUCUACUAAAAAUCAUGAAAGUUAGCCAGGCAUGGUAGCGUGUGCCUCUGGUCCCAGCAACUCAGGAGGCUGAGGUGGGAGGAUUGCUUGAGCCCAGGAGUUUGAGGCUGCAGUGAGACAUUCUACUCCACUCUACUCCAACCUGGGCGAUAGAGCAUGCCCUUGUCUUAAAAAAAAAAAAAAAAAAAAAAAACUGCUGGGAUGUCACUUUCAAGAUUAAGUACCAAAGGACUGUGACUUCUGUUUUGCUCUCAUACAUUCUCUGUCUGAGAGCUGGGAGCUUGUCUUUAAGUAGAAACCCACCCAUCCCCAGGGAGAAGGCAGGAGGGAAAAGGAGGAGAGGUCACAGACAAGCCCCCUGACUCUGUUGAUCUUCACUGCAGUAGCUUCUCAUUACAAGCAGGCAUCUGGCCAUUGUAGACCAUUAUAACUGUAGUUCUAGAAGUAAUAAUAGCAGAUUUAUUGUACAGAAGUGUCCACGGGCUCACAAUUCUAAGGACAUCAUCAUGACAGCAAGUAGGAAAAAAAAUUAAAGUAAUUCUUUCACCAAUUACCAGUUUAUCUCUUCUCCAAUUCCUUUGGAUACGCCUCCUGCAAGAAGCCGAUUUCCAGCUGUAUGUGAUAAUGAAAGGGUUUUUCUUUCUUAUGUUAAAUACAAGCGAAGUGAUUAACUGGAAGAUAGCGUCUGAUUGCGAGGAAAUCAGUGAUUCAGAUGGUGUGGGAAUGGCACCUGGGGAUGGGGGAGGCAGGACGGAGAUGGAGGAAGCUGGUGCAGCCUAGCCUGCCUUGUGCCAAGGACACCCAAGGGCAGAGGGACUGAGCUCUGGGGGAGGACAGAUUUGACAUAACUGGUCCAGCCUCACAGUUUACAGGUCCUGGAGGGUGAGGAAAGUGGGAGCUGGCUGCGGAUGCAGGACAAGAACCCAGGGCUUCCCUUCAUUUUGCCUGCCCUGCCACUUCCUCCCGCCACUUCCACCCUUCCUACCCCUCCACCUCCCUUGUGCCUUUCACUGCCUUUUACAGCAUUUACAUUACACUUCAGUAAAAAGUUGUGGUUUUGGCUGGUUUUUUUUUUUUUUAAAUAAAAACAGCACUGAAGAAGUAGAAGGAAGAUAUUCAGGGUUUUUAUUUUUAUUUUUUGAGUCUGGGUCUCGCUCUGUCACCCAGGCUGGAGUACAGUGGUGAGAUCAUAGCUUACUGUAGCCUCGACCUCCCGGGCUCAAAGAUCCUCACACCUCAGCCUUCCAAGUAGUUGGGACUACAGGCAUAUAUCAUCAUGCCUGGCUAAAUUAACUAUUUUAUUUUAAGAGAUGUGGUCUAGCUAUGUUACCCAGGCUGGUCUCGAACUCCUGGCUUCUAGCAAUCCUCCCACCUCAGUCUCCUGAAUCACUGGGAUUACAGGCUGGGGCCAUCAUGCCCAGCUCUAGGUUUUUAAAAUGUAGGCAAGGAGGUCAGCAUUUACACAAAAGCAGGGUUUGAUCUUAGGAAGCUUAAUAAAGAGAGGGGUCUAAUCAAGGUUUCCUGUAGGAUCUGGGCUUUAAGUUAGGCCUUAAAGAACGAAGAAUGUUUGUGGGUGUAGUAAGCAAUGACUUGGAGCAGAGCCCUCUAGCCAUUGGGCUCACCCUCACAGGCAGGCGCCACUGACCCUAGGGGGGUGUAGGCAGCUGGAGGAAGUACUGUGUGUCCCCCAUUCCAGCGAUGGUGGCCCCUCUCAGAGUCAAUACCCUUCCUUCCAAGAGACUGAACAUACAACUGGACAAUGGCCAGGCCACAUAUGACAAUAGACUCUGGCCAGAAACCCAUGACCAGCCUGGGAAGCCAAGGAAGCCAAACCACAGCCUCAGCAGCAAUCGGACCCAGAACAGUCUGAACUUAGUGGCUGCCAGCUUCUUCCCAAUCCCCAGCCACCACACCCCCUCUUCCAACUCCAGACCAACCAGAGAAAGCCAAAUAUACCCCCCCAACCAACCAAAGAUGCCCCUCCAGUUAGUCCGCUCUGUCCCCAUGCCAACAAUCUCCAAUCACAGCACACCCAGAGCCUUCCCUUUUUUUCCACUAUAACAUUUCACAGUCCCUGCCUGCCUUUGACCCCUGCCAAAUACAAGCAAUCAUGGCUGACUCCUUUGCAAACUUUGACCAAAUGGCCUCUCUGCUCUUGUUUAGGUGGUUUUUAUUUCCACAUCUCCAACAGGGAGUCUGGAAACAAACUGACAAUACUCGUGAAAUCAACACCCAGAUGAGGACUCUGACCUCUUUUGCUUGACCUCAUGUCUGUGAAAUUUAUCCAUGUUGCUGUGCAUAGCGAUAUUUUCAUUCAUAUUCGUUGCUGUGCAGUAGUAUUCGACCCUGUGACUUCACUGUAGCUUCAACUGUGGAUGGACAUUUGGGUUGGUGGAUGGACAUUUGGGUUGUUUCAGGUUUGGGGCUACAGUCAGCGUGUGGUUAGAAACAUUCUUGCCAAUGUCUCGGUGGACAUAGCUUUCUGUGGUGUACAUACCCAGGAGUGGAACUGCUGGAUCAGUUUAUACGUAUGUUCGGCUUUUGGUAGAUACUGCCAGUUUUCCAACAGGGUCACACCAGCUUGGUCCAUUCAGGUUACAAUGAAACACCUUAGCCUGGGUAAUUUGUAAACAACAAAAAAUUAUUUCUCACAGUUCUAGAGGCUGGGAAGUCCAAGAUCAAGGUGCCAGCAGAUCCAGUGUCCAGGGCGGGCUCUCUGCUUCAGAGAUACGGUGCCUUCUCACUGCAUCCACACAUGGUAGAAGGGACAGAAGGGCUCCCUCAAGCCUGUUUUAUAAGGUGCUAACCCCAUUCAUGAUCUCCACCCUCAUGACCUAACCACCUCCCACAGGCCCCACAUCUUUAUUAUUUUUUUGAGAUGGAGUCUCGCUCUGUCACCCAGGCUGGAGUGCAGUGGCACGAUCUCGGCUCACUGAAAUCUCCACCUACUGGGUUCAAGCUAUUCUCCUGUCUCAGCCUCCCGAGUGGCUGAAAUUACAGAUGUACGCCAUCACACCUGGCUAAUUUUUGUAUUUUUAGUACAGAUGGGGUUUCACCAUGUUGGCCAGGCUGAUCUCAGACUCCUGGCUUCAAGUGAUCUGCCCCCUGCCAGCAUCCCAAAGUGCUGGGAUUACAGUCAUGAGCCACCAUACCCAGCCCCAAAGGCCCCACCUCUUAAUGCCAUUGCUUUGGGGGUUAGGAUUCAACAUAUGAAUUCAAAGGGUACACCUACAUUCACAACACAGCACUGACUUAGAUUCCCUGCAAAACCCAUGAGAGUUUCAUUUCCUCCAUAUUUUCAUCAGCAUUUCAUCUUGUCAGAUUUACUCUCUAUAGGUUCUAAGUAUUAUUCCCCCUCUGCUGAUUUACUUAUUAUAAACAGUACAUAACUGAUCAGAUAAACACUUGUCCCUUUGCCACCCCUAAUGCCUGCCCCCACUUCAUAUUCCAGGAACACUCCAUUAAACCACCCCCUACUGUACUGGUGGGUGGUGGGAGGGGGCUCAUCGGGUGGGGUCUUUGCCGUAUUAUUCUGUGUCACUGAGGCCUAUCACAGUGCUCUGCACAUGUAGGUGCAAAUAUCUGUUGUAUGAUUACAUAAAAGAAUGAUGUGAAAGCCUAUUUGUCUGUACCACAAUCAUGAACGUCCCCAACCACUUGAAGGCACUCAUAGUGUCUUAAUCAUCUUAGGCCUUCGAUCUGGCAUAGGUAACUCCUUUAAUAAACAAUGUCUGCUAAACCAAAUGGCUUCCUGAGGCCUGGCAUUUUAGGCUGUGUCCCCUGCCCCACCUCGCCCAGCCUGGGGCAUUGAGCCUGGCUGGGCACACACGUGAUAGUUGUAAUCAUAUUGUCAUAACAUCCCUGAGACUACAUUAAUUACAUAUUGAGUGUUAUAGUACUAUUAUAGCAGGUGGCAGAUGUUGGCACACUGGGCAGAGAUGUGUUGGUGUGAAAAACCUCUAUGUACUUUAAAGACAGGGUCUCCCUCUGUUGCCUAGGCUGAAGUGCAGUGGUGCCAUCAUAGCUCACUGUAACUUCAAACUCCUGUGCUCAAGUGAUCCUCCCACCUCAGCCUCCUGAGUAGCUGGAACUUGAGGCACAUACCACCACACCCAGCUAAUUUUUAAAUUUUUUGUAGAGAUAGGGUCUAGCUGUUACCUACACUGGUUUUGAACUCCUGGCCUCAAGCAGUCCUUCUGCCUUGGUCUCCCAAAGUGCUGGGAUUAUAGGUAUGAUCCACCACCUCCAGCCAAAAUCUCACUUUAAGUGGGGUCCCUAACUCCAGACAUGUGAUAAGCUGUGGUUCACAGGCAUAAAGAACAUCCAGCCUGGGGCCCCGGGGUCAGAGUUUUCCCUCGCAUUGUCCCCUGGGUCCUUCAUCCCUCCUAAUCUUGCAAACCAGCUGUCAAUUGGGUUGAGAUGGUAUCUCUUUCAUAGGGUCAUUAUGAGGAUUAAAUGACUUAAUAUAUGUAAAGCACUUAGCUUAAUGCCUGGCAGACAGUAAGGUAUGGAGUAAGUUGUAACCCUUAUUAUUAUUGCUGUUGCUGUUAGCAACAGAGUGAGGAAUGCUAGGAGUGACCAUGCCCAGCACCGAAUGAGGCCUUCAUAGCCUUGGGCUAAAAGAAAAAGAGCAGAAAGGUGAACACAGGGGAAGGCCUCAAUUUCAACACAGAUGCAUUAGACCAAGGACUCUGAACUCACUUUCCCUGGAGGUGGGGGUGCUAUCAGCUGCUUAAUGGAGCAUCAUGGAAAAUGUGGGACUCAAGGCCUGAAGGACUCCAUUCCUAAGAGAUGGGAGCAGGAGACAUGCUACGGAGUUUGAAUCUUGCCUAGCACAGGGAUUUCUGCCUGCUGGAAGGGCUCUGUCAGGGCCUAGUGGAAGCCCCUGCCUCAGUGGGGCAAACUGCCACUGGACACACCCAUCAUUCAUCAUCACCUCUCUGGGACAGUAGUAGCAGCCAGGCACCUCCAAAGAGCUUGACAACAGAGGAACCCGCUUCGGCCCCUCCUCUGAAGACAGGAUCCUGCGCUACUCCAACUCUGAACUGGUUCAAGGUGAGAGACGUCAUCCACAGAGGCCACAAAACCAAGAGGUGGAUGCCUCAUUGUUACUUCAUGCUGUCUGGGAGCAAAGAGAGGGCCUUAGGCACAAAAUCCUCCAGACCCGCAUCUGCCCCUUGGCUUUCUCAACCCUUCACUCUCCAACUUCUAUAAAUAACCUGUACAGUGGCCAGGCACCGUGGUUCACACCUGUAAUCCCAGCAUUUUGGGAGGCCAAGGCGGGCGGAUCACUUGAGGUCAGGAGUUCGAGACCAGCCUGGCCAACAUGGUGAAACCCCAUCUCUAACAAAAAUACGAAAAUUAGCCAGGUGUGGUGGCGGGCAUCUGUAAUCCCAGCUACUUGAGAGGCUGAAGCAGGAGAAUCACUUGAACCUGGGAGGCGGAGGUUGCAGUGAGCCGAAGUUGCACCACUGCACUCCAGCCUGGGCAACAGAGCAACACUCUGUCUCAAAAGAAAAGAACCUCUGCAGAAUGAGGGGAAGCAGGGAAGCAGGCAGGGGUGAACAAGAUGGCCAUGAAUUGAUAAUUACUGAAGUUGGGUGAUGGGCUCAUGGGGAUUUGUUAUUCUACUCUCUCUACUUUUUUGUGUUUGAAAGUUCAUAAUAAAUAAUGUUGCUCAAAGGAAGCUAUUAAUAGUUUGAGGCCAGGCAGGGUAAAGAGCAUCUCCUAGAUUUUUUUUUUUUUUUUUUUUUUUUUUUUUUUUUUUUUUUUUUAGAGAUAGGGUCUUGCUUUGUUGCCCAGGCUUGUCUCAAACUCCUGGCUUCAAGGGAUCCUCCCACCUCGGCUUCCCAAAAUGCUGGGAUUACAGGCACAAGCCACCACAUCCAACCUCCCUCAUAUUUGACUAAGAAGUCUCAUAAAUCUGAGAACACCUAGCAAGGAAUUAAGGCGAGGGUGUGGCACUGUUCUGGCUUCAGUCUAUCACCAGGCAGAGUCCACGCAUUCUUCCCAGGGAGAAAGAAGCAGUGACAGCUCUUGGGCUUUGAGGGAAAUGAUUCAGCGGGAGAAAGAAGGUGGAGAGGGGCUAAUAUGCAGAUACCAUUGCUGCAGGUGGCUCUGCCCCUAAGCACUGAGGAGGGCACUGGUCCCUCUGGCCCCACCCAGCCUUCACCCCAAGGUGAAGUACGCUUUCUCAGGUCCCCAAGGAUGGGUGGCCAGGUCCCCCACUGGGAGUGGAGGUCUCACUCCCUUCCUUGGGUUCUGACCUCCACAUUAUCUGGCUGUGAGGGUGACCUGCCUGGCUUUCCCCACCAAGUGCAGCUCCCCGCAGCUGAAAGCCACACUCUCAACACAGGACUCCUGAGAUCUGACACUGGCCAAUUCACACCCUGCUUGAAGCUGGCAUUUGAGAGGCCUUCAGGUUGACAACAGCAGCAACAAGUUUGCUGUUCAAAGUAGGCCAAGUCACGGCUUUGAGCGGCAUCAUUUGAAAAGUGCUGGGAUCAGCCAGGCGCAGUGGCUCACUCCUGUAUCCCAGCACUUUGGGAAGCCAACGCAGGUGGAGCACUUGAGGUCAGGAGUUCAAGAACAGCCUGGCCAACAUGGAGAAACCCCGUCUCUACUAAAAAUACGAAAAUUAGUCGGGUGUGGUGGCAGGCCUCUGUAAUCCCAGCUACUCGGGAGGCUGAGGCAGGAGAAUUGCUUGAACCCGGGAGGCGGAGGUUGCAGUGAGCUGAGAUCAUGCCACUACACUCCAGCCUGGGCAACGGAGUAAGACUGUCUCAAAAAAAGAAAAAGGAAAAAAAAAAGUGGUGGGGUUUGGGUGCAGUGUCUCACAUCUGUAAUCCCAGCACUUUGGGAGGCUAAGGCAAGAUCUCAUGAGGCCAACCUGGGCAACAUAACAGCAUGACCUCAUCUCUAUAAAAAAUUUAAUUUGGCUGGGCGCGGUGGCUCACGCCUGUAAUCCCAGCACUUUGGGAGGCCGAGGCGGGCGGAUCACAAGGUCAGGAGAUCGAGACCAUCCUGGCUAACACAGUGAAACCCCGUCUCUACUAAAAGUGCAAAAAAAUUAGCCAGGCGUGGUGGCAGGCGCCUGUAGUCCCAGCUACUCUGGAGGCUGAGGCGGGAGAAUGGCCUGAACCCAGGAGGUGGAGGUCGCAGUGAGCUGAGAUCGCGCCACUGCACUCCAGCCUGGGUGACAGAGCAAGACUCCAUCUCAAAAAAAAAAAAGAAAAAAAAAUUUAAUUAGCCAGGCAUGGUGACAGGUACCUGAAGUCCUAGUUACUCAGAAGGCUGAGGCAGGAGGAUCGCUUAAGCCCGGGAGUUUAAGGAUACAGUGAGUUAUGAUUGCACCACUUCGCUCCAGGCUGGGUGAUUCUCUAAAAAAAAGAAAAAAGAAAAAGAUGGGAGGAUGGGAGGCGGGGCUAGGGGACUGGGAAGGUCCCUCAACCCUUUCUACAUGCCUUACCCAGGGUAUCUCCCAUCAUGGCUGGUUACUGUGCUAAAAUUAUAAUUUUUUUUCUUUGAGACAGAGUAUCACUCGGUCACCCAGGCUGGAGUGCAGUGGUGCGAUCUCAGCUCACUACAACCUCCGCCUCCUGGCGGGCUCAAGUGACUUAUCUUCCCACCUCAGCCUCCCAUGUAGCUGGGACUAUAGAUGGGCGCCGCCAUGCCCAGUUACUUUUUGUAUUUUUUACCUAGGCUGGUAGUGUGCUAACAUUCUACCACUUGGGCAACAGUCUUCGGGGCUACAUACUGCCUUUUUUUUUUUUUUUGAAACAGAAUACCACUCUGUCGCCCAGGCUGGAGCGCAGUGGCACAAUCUCGGCUCACUGCAACCUCCGCAUCC